RNAcentral lists this ribosomal RNA (253 nucleotides) under uncultured Paracoccaceae bacterium. RNAcentral's name for it is "uncultured Rhodobacteraceae bacterium partial 16S ribosomal RNA". It matches the Rfam family "Bacterial small subunit ribosomal RNA", at positions 524 to 776 of the family's 1533-position model. The record is from RNAcentral. Lineage: Bacteria; Pseudomonadati; Pseudomonadota; Alphaproteobacteria; Rhodobacterales; Paracoccaceae.
UACGGAGGGGGCUAGCGUUAUUCGGAAUUACUGGGCGUAAAGCGCACGUAGGCGGACCAGAAAGUUAGGGGUGUAAUCCCGGGGCUCAACCUCGGAACUGCCUCUAAAACUCCUGGUCUUGAGUUCGAGAGAGGUGAGUGGAAUUCCGAGUGUAGAGGUGAAAUUCGUAGAUAUGCGGAGGAACACCGAUGGCGAAGGCAACCCCCUGGGCCUGUACUGACGCUCAUGCACGAAAGCGUGGGGAGCAAACAGG